GUGGGGAAUCUUAGACAAUGGGGGAAACCCUGAUCUAGCCAUGCCGCGUGAUCGAUGAAGGCCUUAGGGUUGUAAAGAUCUUUCAGGUGGGAAGAUAAUGACUGUACCACCAGAAGAAGCCCCGGCUAACUCCGUGCCAGCAGCCGCGGUAAUACGGAGGGGGCUAGCGUUGUUCGGAAUUACUGGGCGUAAAGCGCACGUAGGCGGAUUGGAAAGUUGGGGGUGAAAUCCCGGGGCUCAACCCCGGAACUGCCUUCAAAACUCCCAGUCUUGAGUUCGAGAGAGGUGAGUGGAAUUCCGAGUGUAGAGGUGAAAUUCGUAGAUAUUCGGAGGAACACCAGUGGCGAAGGCGGCUCACUGGCCCGUUACUGACGCUGAGGCGCGAAAGCGUGGGGAGCAAACAGGAUUAGAUACCCCAGUAGUCC
Molecule: ribosomal RNA, 425 nt
Filed under: uncultured bacterium
Lineage: Bacteria
Description: partial 16S ribosomal RNA
Rfam family: Bacterial small subunit ribosomal RNA
Source: RNAcentral